GCCUCUAUAGCUCAGUUGGUAGAGCAGCUGAUUUGUAAUCAGCAGGUCGAGGGUUCGAGUCCCCCUGGAGGCU
RNAcentral lists this transfer RNA (73 nucleotides) under Alloscardovia macacae. It matches the Rfam family "tRNA". Rfam says of the family: Transfer RNA (tRNA) molecules are approximately 80 nucleotides in length. Their secondary structure includes four short double-helical elements and three loops (D, anti-codon, and T loops). Further hydrogen bonds mediate the characteristic L-shaped molecular structure. tRNAs have two regions of fundamental functional importance: the anti-codon, which is responsible for specific mRNA codon recognition, and the 3' end, to which the tRNAs corresponding amino acid is attached (by aminoacyl-tRNA synthetases). tRNAs cope with the degeneracy of the genetic code in two manners: having more than one tRNA (with a specific anti-codon) for a particular amino acid; and 'wobble' base-pairing, i.e. permitting non-standard base-pairing at the 3rd anti-codon position. The record is from Rfam by way of RNAcentral. Lineage: Bacteria; Bacillati; Actinomycetota; Actinomycetes; Bifidobacteriales; Bifidobacteriaceae. RNAcentral also lists the same sequence under 3 other names.